UAGGGAAUCUUCGGCAAUGGGGGGAACCCUGACCGAGCAACGCCGCGUGAGUGAAGAAGGUUUUCGGAUCGUAAAGCUCUGUUGUUAAGGAAGAACGAGUGUGAGAAUGGAAAGUUCAUACUGUGACGGUACUUAACCAGAAAGGGACGGCUAACUACGUGCCAGCUGCCGCGGUAAUACGUAGGUCCCGAGCGUUGUCCGGAUUUAUUGGGCGUAAAGCGAGCGCAGGCGGUUAGAUAAGUCUGAAGUUAAAGGCAGUGGCUCAACCAUUGUAGGCUUUGGAAACUGUUUAACUUGAGUGCAGAAGGGGAGAGUGGAAUUCCAUGUGUAGCGGUGAAAUGCGUAGAUAUAUGGAGGAACACCGGUGGCGAAAGCGGCUCUCUGGUCUGUAACUGACGCUGAGGCUCGAAAGCGUGGGGAGCGAACAGG
Molecule: ribosomal RNA, 429 nt
Filed under: Bacteroidota bacterium
Lineage: Bacteria; Pseudomonadati; Bacteroidota
Description: Bacteroidetes bacterium partial 16S ribosomal RNA
Rfam family: Bacterial small subunit ribosomal RNA
Source: RNAcentral